Long non-coding RNA from Mustela erminea (ermine), 514 nucleotides. RefSeq lists it as uncharacterized. The record is from RefSeq and is a predicted model, not a curated record. NCBI's taxonomy places the organism in Eukaryota, Metazoa, Chordata, Mammalia, Carnivora, Mustelidae. The transcript has 3 exons.
CUUUCCCACAGCAUGAACCGCAACCCCCAACCUGUUCCAGUUCUGCCUCACACCAGGGGCCUUGCUCACAACAGAACGGAAGGACCAUGCACUGAGCUGGAGGGUCCAAGCCUAGAGGGGCAGAAACAUGCACCCAGGUGCUGAGCUAAGUAAGCAUUUUUACAUCAUCUAAUCCUCAGGAUAAGUCUACAAGGUAGGUGUUAGUAGUGGCAUUGAUCCACAAGGGGUGCUGAGGCUCAGAGAGGAGAAACAAUUUGCUCAAGUUCAUACACAUUAAAAUCGUGCGGUAGGUAGCACUUGAGCCCAUGCCCAUGGGACAGCAGAGCUGAGUCCUUCCUCAAAGUCAGUGGCCAAACCUAGUACCUACCUUGGUCUACAACUCAUCUCUUAUCCUUUGAAGCUCCCUUGUAAACCCCCUCGCCCCCCCAGGCUGAACUACUCACCCUUCCCUGAAUAUUCCAGACCAGUUUACCUCCCGCUUGUUCCACAGGUAGCAUCCUCUGCAAGAAAUGGC